RNAcentral lists this long non-coding RNA (2130 nucleotides) under Sus scrofa (pig). Its description in RNAcentral is "lncRNA (ENSSSCG00050050780.1)". The record is from RNAcentral. Lineage: Eukaryota; Metazoa; Chordata; Mammalia; Artiodactyla; Suidae.
UUUUUUUUUUUUUUUCUUUUUUGGCCACCCCAAGGCACAUGGAGUUCCUGGGUCAGGGCUCAGAUCUGAGCCACAGUUGUGACCUAAGCUGCAGCUGUAGCAACGCUGGAUCCUUAACCCACUGUACUGAGCCCGGGAUCAAACCUGCAUCUCAGCACUCCCAAGAUGCCGCCAAUCCCAUUGCACUACAGCAGGAACUCCUCGACAGUCUUGCUUCAUCUAUAUUCCCUUGACUCUGCUUACACUGGAUUAUUUUAAUCAAACCCCAAGCUUCAUAUAAAAUCAUCUCUAGAUAUUUCAGUUUAUAUCUCUUCAAGAUAAGGACUUUUCAAACAAAAGCCCUGGACUGUUAUGAGACCUAAACAGUAAAAUAAGUAAUUCAUUAAAACAUCAAAUGUCCUAUCAGACAUUCAUUCUAAGUCCAAUUUUUCUAUUUCCUUUCAGAUGGAUGUUCAAAUGAAGAUUCUUAAAAUGUCCUUUUAUUGAAUUUGGCUAUUGUGUUUCUUGUGUCUGUUUUUUGAAAAUUAAUUUUAAAAUAUAAAAAACCUUUUGUUGUGAAAUUUUCCAAUGUAAACAAAAGGAAAGAAAAUAUUAUAGUGGACCUCGUGGGAGCUAGGGUGAGCAAAAGGACCCUAGAUUUUAAAUUCUGGAGAUCUGCUAUGAUUGCUGAUUGCUGCUUCUAAUCACAAUCAGAGGUGCAGAAAGAGAGGUGCACAGCCACUGUUGCUGCACCUCUCCCCCCUGUUGCAACCCUGCCCCAUCUGAUGAACUAACUUCCAAGGUAUUCUGAGUGCUGAAAUCAUUUUCACCCCCUGCAUUUUUCAUUUUUUCCCUUUUAGGAGUCAGAUGUUCAAAAACCACUAGAAAACUAGGAUGUUUCAAAAUGACUGCAUUUAUAGGGGAAAAUCAAAAGUUCCAUGCUCAAGGAAAGUCUCAGAAAAGACCUAAGACAUUACGUUUAUACCUUAGGCUGAUCCCCAGCAUAGAGACAGCCUACAACAAUAAACACACACACACGAAAAUCAGUAACAGAAAAUACCCCUGAGGAAGAGAGAGAAUAAGAUUUCCAGAGUUACCACAUAUUAAGUUUUAAAUCUCCAGUCACAAUAUUAUGCAUUGUGAUUUUUCAACAACAAAAAAAUCACAAUGCAUAAAAAGAAAGAGGAAAGUAUAACUCAAAGGGAAAAAGAAACAGAAACUAUCCCUAAAAAAGACAUAUUGGCAAAUAUAUUAUACAAAGACCUUAAAACAACUGUCUUAAAGAUGCUCAAAGAACUAAAGGAAUAUAGAACAAAGUCAAAAAAAUAAUGUAUGAACCAAAUGAAAAUAUCAGUAAAGAGAUAGAAAACCUAAAAAGGAACCAAAAAGAAAUUUUGGAGCUGUAAAGUACAAUAACUGAAGUGAAAAAUUCACUACAGGAAUUCAAAGGCAGAUUUGAGCAGGCACAAGAAAUAAUUUGUGAACCUAAAGAAGGGACUAUGGAAAUUAUCGAGGCUGAGGACAGAAAGAAAAAAGUAUGAAUAAAACUGAACAUAGCCCAAGCGACCCUUGAGACACCAUCAAGUGGACCUAAUACACACUGUGGGAUCCCAGAAGGAGAAGAGGGAGAGAAAGGGCCAGAGAGACCAUCUGGAGAAAUGAUGAUUGAAAACUUCACGAAUUUAAUGAAAGAUGUGACUAUAAAUAUCCAAGAAUCUCAGUGAACUCCAAGAUGAUCCACAUGGAGAUGUAUUACAACCAAACACUCAAAAGACAAAGAAUGAAUCUGUUUUUUUGUUUGUUCAUUUGUUUGUUUUGUCUUUUUAGGGCCGCACCCAAGGCAUAUGGAGGUUCCCAGGCUAGAGCUACAGCUCCUAUUUGACCCCUAGCCUGGGAAUCUACAUGUACCCCAGGUACAGCCCUAAAAGACAAAAAAAAAAAAAAUUCCUUCAAAAAGGAGGGAGAUGGAGUUUUCCAGUGGUCUAGCAGUCAGUUAAGGGCUAAGCCACUGCUGUGGCUCAGGUUAUUGUUGUGGCUUGGAUUUGAUUCCUGGCCCGAGAACUUCCUCAUGCUGCAGGCAUGGCCAAAAAAAAAAGUGUGGUGGGGUGGAGGGAGAAAUCAAGACAUUAAAAAAAAAAAAAAAAGAGUUCC